Molecule: ribosomal RNA, 497 nt
Filed under: uncultured Desulfobulbus sp.
Lineage: Bacteria; Pseudomonadati; Thermodesulfobacteriota; Desulfobulbia; Desulfobulbales; Desulfobulbaceae
Description: bacterial SSU rRNA
Rfam family: Bacterial small subunit ribosomal RNA
Source: RNAcentral
GCUCAGACACUCAAAGGAAUUGACGGGGCCCGGCACAAGCGGUGGAGUAUGUGGUUUAAUUCGAUGCAACGCGAAGAACCUUACCUGGUCUUGACAUCCCGGAGACCCUUAGGAAACUAGGGGGUGCUUCCAUCUGGAAGAAUCUGGAGACAGGUGCUGCAUGGCUGUCGUCAGCUCGUGUCGUGAGAUGUUGGGUUAAGUCCCGCAACGAGCGCAACCCUUGCCUUUAGUUGCCAGCAGUUCGGCUGGGCACUCUAAAGGGACUGCCGGUGUUAAACCGGAGGAAGGUGGGGAUGACGUCAAGUCCUCAUGGCCUUUAUGACCAGGGCUACACACGUACUACAAUGGCCGAUACAAAGGGCAGCGACACUGCGAGGUGAAGCCAAUCCCGUAAAAUCGGUCUCAGUCCGGAUUGGAGUCUGCAACUCGACUCCAUGAAGUUGGAAUCGCUAGUAAUCGUGGAUCAGCAUGCCACGGUGAAUACGUUCCCGGGCCUU